This 1033-nucleotide long non-coding RNA is filed under the name Amphimedon queenslandica. RNAcentral describes it as "uncharacterized LOC109581255, transcript variant X2". The record is from RNAcentral. Lineage: Eukaryota; Metazoa; Porifera; Demospongiae; Haplosclerida; Niphatidae.
GGACAAAUUUACUGCUAAAUUUGAACCCAGGACAAAUUUUGGCAGCCAAUCUUUAUCUUAGGAAGGUACUAGGACAAACAUUUCAAAUAAGACAAAAAGUAGCAGCACAAUCAUUUAUCCUAGGAUAAAAAAAUAGCAACACAAUUUUGACGAGUAGGACAAAAUUUUGAUAUAACAGACAUCUUCGUGCACAUAUGGGCAAGCCCCCAGGAUUGGGCUCAAUUAUUUUGAAGUGUACCUUGCAGUGUACUGUUGACUGAAUGAUGUUUUCAAAAUUCAAAUGUGGCAAAGCCUGAGCCUAGGCAUAUAGUGGAAGGGAGCGGGGAUGAGACGUAGACAAUGCCACACCCACGAAGACACCAAUGAUGAUGCUAUCAUUGAUAAAUGAUCCUAUUACUGAAUUGUAUGAUCUUGAAACUGGCCCUCAACUUCUCGUAGAGGCUAAAAAUGAAUAACGAAGACAGUUGCGUGUGUACUUCAAGUGGUCUCCUGAUGGUAGUGGUACUUGUGUAUUGACUUACAAUAAUGACAAUAUACUGAGAUUGUAUAAUCUUCCAAAUGAGCUCUACAGCUCUUCAUUCCCUGAUCACAUUCAACCAGAAACAGUGAAUUUAGACACACAAAAACAUGCAUAUGUACAUGUAUUUCUAACAUAUUGCUUUGCUGUCUUUUGUAGGAUCCUGUUGUUUAUGCUAGAGAAGAUGAAAUUAAAUACGAUUAUGCCUGGUUCCCUAGAAUGUCAUCCUAUGACUAUGCCACUUGCUGGGCAAAUUUUCCAUUAUGCACUGCAACAAAAACGUUCACAAGAGAUAAAUGUGAUGAAAAUGAGGAAUAUUAUCUGGAAAACUACAUGAGAGUUGCCACAGUUUCCUGGGAAUAUAACAGCUAUUUCUGUGGACCAGAGUAUGACGAUGACAUGGAUCUAUACCAGUGGUGGCCACCAAAGAGCUGUUACAAGCCAAGGUAUGAUAGAGGUGCCGGUACCCUACUUUACAAACCAUGGACCAAUGGAUUGGGAUGCAAUGGGUUUGGU